UAGAAGGCUGGUGAUAAGAGUAGGAACUCC
This 30-nucleotide non-coding RNA is filed under the name Mus musculus (house mouse). The record is from RNAcentral. Lineage: Eukaryota; Metazoa; Chordata; Mammalia; Rodentia; Muridae. RNAcentral also lists the same sequence under 1 other name.